Carassius auratus (goldfish) is the source of this 832-nucleotide long non-coding RNA. RefSeq lists it as uncharacterized. Lineage: Eukaryota; Metazoa; Chordata; Actinopteri; Cypriniformes; Cyprinidae. The record is from RefSeq and is a predicted model, not a curated record. The transcript is spliced from 3 exons.
UUCCUGUUUCAGACAAUCCUCCACCGCGUACUUUCAAAACUCACGGUAAAUUUCUUAAAAGGGCUGAUUUGUUCUAGCAAAGCACAGUUUUCCAACUCGCUCCACUGAUGCAUGAGAUCUUCACUGUGCAUCUUUAUUUCUCAUAUUCAUAUUCUGGAUAUUUCUACAUCUCCUUUCAUCACAGAUACAGAUGGAGAGUAGAAAUGAAAUAAUGCAGAAACCACAGAUGAGCAAAAAGAAGAAUACAGAACAAAUGGAGCCUGGAGAUCAGACGCAAACCAGUGGAGAGAAAAGCAGACAAACACUUGUAAGAUGUGACAGUAUGAAGAGAUUAUCACCAAACUUCUCGCAUGAGCCACAAGGACCUGGAAAGUUAAAUGCAGGUUUUCUCAAGAACACACAACAUCAGUGACUUCCAGCUACGAACAGAUGAAGACCUGACCAUCAUCAUCAUCAUCAUCAUCACUACAGUGUGUUCAGCUCCUGGACUCUUACACAGACUCUGGUUCAUCACACAUUCUUACAAACAAACAGCUCAGUGUCUUCGGUUUCACUGCACGAGCAGACCUAUGGGUCGAAAUUAACUGGAGAACCUGAAGGAAACCUGCAGAAAAGUCAUUCACCUGAAGCAGGAGAGCUUCUUACUGUCAGUCAAUUACAUCAUACUGUCCUAAUGUAUUGAUGAAACACGUUACAAAGACUGUGAACUACUGAAUCGUGGAGUUAGCACAUUUAUUUAGACAGGAUUUGACUGUAAGCUGGUGAGUUAAAGUGUUUAACCAGUUUACCUACCGCUCCGUUACCCAGCAUGUUAAAACAAUCAAAUGAAAAU